CCGGUUUCCGGUUCCGUGCUUCAAUAGAGGCCGCUGGGUGUUAAUGGUGCGGCUAGCUGCACGGCGGUUCAGCUUUGUUCCAGUUACUUUCAGUUGCCUGGGAGUGUUUCGCAACGGAAAGAAAAGGGUCAAAAACAAUUUCUGUUGUGACACUGUCUACCCCCAGGAGCUGUAGGCCAAAAGGCCGAGAGGCCUGACUUUCCCUCUUUUCGAGUGUGUUUCUGUGCACCGUGUGCUGUGUGACCACCGACAGAAAUUUCACUGAGCACUGAGUGAGUGUGUUGUGAUUGAGCACAUGCAUGGUGUGGAUAUUUAAACCUACUUCUGUUUCAGCCUGUCCUGUGCCGAUCAGCUGCAGCCCUGCAUGAGCUUUUGAUUUUCCUUUUUUUUUUUUGUUUAUUCUGAAACUUUUAUUUUACGGGUUGUUAAUAAAUUAAAUUCUAUUUUUGUA
Long non-coding RNA from Tachysurus vachellii, 451 nucleotides. RefSeq lists it as uncharacterized. NCBI's taxonomy places the organism in Eukaryota, Metazoa, Chordata, Actinopteri, Siluriformes, Bagridae. The record is from RefSeq and is a predicted model, not a curated record. The transcript has 3 exons.